RNAcentral lists this transfer RNA (40 nucleotides) under Calamus nagbettai. Its description in RNAcentral is "partial tRNA-His". Lineage: Eukaryota; Viridiplantae; Streptophyta; Magnoliopsida; Arecales; Arecaceae. The record is from RNAcentral.
UAAAUACAAUAAUGAUGAAUGGAAAAAAGAGAAAAUCCUU